CCCUCAUCUUGUGUCUUACCUGAGAAUCUUGGUUUGGAUCUGGGACAGAGUCUAAUGCACAGAGCUGAGAGGGAGAGCCAGUUCUUAUCCAAUAACUUUCCUAGUGGACUGAACCCAAAAAGUGUCUGGAAGGCAAUGUGGUUUGCUGGUUUUGUUUUUCAUUUUAUUAUUAUUAUUUUUUUUUUUGCUCCUCCACCCUCUUCCCUAAACACUUCUUCCCUUAAAACCAUUAAACCAGUAAGUCAAAUGCGGUAUGGUUGUUGUUUUUUCAUUUGUUGAAUUGAAAAUCACACGUGGGGCAUAAAGUGACUAACUAAAUGACAGUGAGCCUUUAAAAAGAAUGCUGGCCACUUGACUAAAAAUGGUGAACUUUCCUGAUAGAGGGAAAAUCAAGCGGCAGGCUACUUGGAGACCCCCGUUUGAAUUUGUUUCUUCACUUACUACCUCUGUGGUCCUGUGCAAGCCCGAUCCCUUCUGUGUCCCCAGGAGCCGAAUCGUGUCAUUCUUAAGAGAAACCGUCUCUAAGGCCCGGUCCCCUGGACUAGGUCGGAUCUUGAGUUGUAAGCCUGUCAUGGCAACCUAAACAUCCCCCUAGACUGUGAGCUCGGUGAGCAGGGUACCGCAUCUGUGGAUUUUACUGCUCCGUGUCCAGAAGCGAGGACAGACGCUUUGUUGAAUGAAACCUGCCUAGGUGUUCUUGCACAGUGAGGUCGAAUUCCCAGAGAGUCCCUCGGGAAAGGGCGAGCGACCAAUCUCAAAUCACACAGGACCAGGGUAGUGAGCGCGCUCGGGAAAGGCGGUGUCGGUUCAAAGUUGUUUGCUACAGAUGGUUCUUCUAACCCGGCUGGAGUCACAUCCUCCGUGGCUCGGAGAGCUCCCGGGAUUUACAUAAGGCAGGGUGAAUCACACCGUUGGAAACGGACAAGGCAAGAAGACCCGCCCCCGUUCACGCCGGGCGGCGCCCGGAGCUCGAUUGGGGGUUACUCUGAACUUUGCAGGAGGGACU
Molecule: long non-coding RNA, 1006 nt
Filed under: Bos grunniens (domestic yak)
Lineage: Eukaryota; Metazoa; Chordata; Mammalia; Artiodactyla; Bovidae
Description: lncRNA (ENSBGRG00000022993.1)
Source: RNAcentral